This 164-nucleotide ribosomal RNA is filed under the name Chloropicon laureae. RNAcentral's name for it is "partial Bacterial large subunit ribosomal RNA". It matches the Rfam family "Bacterial large subunit ribosomal RNA", at positions 1263 to 1426 of the family's 2925-position model. Lineage: Eukaryota; Viridiplantae; Chlorophyta; Chloropicophyceae; Chloropicales; Chloropicaceae. The record is from RNAcentral.
GAAAAAUUUUAGGUAGAUCUCACAAGUGACUAUGCUGAUAUGAGUAACGAAAAAUCAUGUGAAAUACAUGAUCACCGAAACUUCAAGGUUUUCUGUGAAAAGUAAAUCUGCACAGAGUUAAACGGCCCCUAAGAGAACCCCGAAAGGGCUCCUCGAUGGGAAAG